Molecule: ribosomal RNA, 778 nt
Filed under: uncultured bacterium
Lineage: Bacteria
Description: bacterial SSU rRNA
Rfam family: Bacterial small subunit ribosomal RNA
Source: RNAcentral
AUGCAAGUCGAGGGGCAUCAUUGGUACUUGUACUAGAUGGCGACCGGCGCACGGGUGCGUAACGCGUAUGCGACCUACCUACUACAGGGGGAUAGGUCCCGGAAACGGGAAUUAAUACCGCAUGACACUAUUUUGUUACAUGACAAGAUAGUUAAAACUUCGGUGGUAGUAGAUGGGCAUGCGUAUGAUUAGUUAGUUGGUGUGGUAACGGCACACCAAGACGAUGAUCAUUAGCGGGUCUGAGAGGAUGAUCCGCCACACUGGUACUGAGACACGGACCAGACUCCUACGGGAGGCAGCAGUGAGGAAUAUUGGUCAAUGGGGGGAACCCUGAACCAGCCAUGCCGCGUGCAGGAAGACGGCCUUCUGGGUUGUAAACUGCUUUUAUACAGGAGCAAAUAGUCCCUGCGGGGAAAGUUGAGAGUAUUGUAUGAAUAAGCACCGGCUAACUCCGUGCCAGCAGCCGCGGUAAUACGGAGGGUGCAAGCGUUGUCCGGAUUUAUUGGGUUUAAAGGGUGCGUAGGCGGUUUAUAAAGUCAGUGGUGAAAGUCUUCGGCUCAACCGGAGGAUUGCCAUUGAAACUUAUAGACUUGAGUACAGUAGAGGUAGGCGGAAUUUAUGAUGUAGCGGUGAAAUGCAUAGAUAUCAUAAAGAACACCGAUAGCGAAGGCAGCUUACUAUGCUGUUACAGACGCUGAGGCACGAAAGCGUGGGGAGCGAACAGGAUUAGAUACCCUGGUAGUCCACGCCGUAAACGAUGAGAACUAGCCGUUGGGCA